AUUGAACGCUGGCGGCACGCCUAACACAUGCAAGUCGAGCGGCAGGGAGGUGAGUAGCAAUACUCAUUGUCGGCGAGCGGCGGACGGGUGAGGAACACGUAGGAAUCUGCCCUAUAGCGGGGGACAACCAAGGGAAACUUUGGCUAAUACCGCGUAAACUCGAGAGAGGAAAGCUGCCCGCAAGGGUGGCGCUAUAGGAGGAGCCUGCGUCCGAUUAGCUAGUUGGAGAGGUAAGAGCUCACCAAGGCGAUGAUCGGUAACUGGUCUGAGAGGACGACCAGUCACACUGGGACUGAGACACGGCCCAGACGCCUACGGGAGGCAGCAGUGGGGAAUAUUGGACAAUGGGGGCAACCCCGAUCCAGCGAUGCCGCGUGGGUGAAGAAGGCCUUCGGGUUGUAAAGCCCUUUAGGUUGGGAAGAAGUACGAUAGGUGAAUAGCCUAUUGUAUUGACGGUACCGACAGAAUAAGCACCGGCAAACUCUGUGCCAGCAGCCGCGGUAA
RNAcentral lists this ribosomal RNA (504 nucleotides) under uncultured bacterium. Its description in RNAcentral is "partial 16S ribosomal RNA". It matches the Rfam family "Bacterial small subunit ribosomal RNA", at positions 29 to 523 of the family's 1533-position model. The record is from RNAcentral.